Molecule: ribosomal RNA, 751 nt
Filed under: gut metagenome
Description: bacterial SSU rRNA
Rfam family: Bacterial small subunit ribosomal RNA
Source: RNAcentral
GUUUUGCAUGUACCUUGUGAAUAAGCAUCGGCUAACUCCGUGCCAGCAGCCGCGGUAAUACGGAGGAUGCGAGCGUUAUCCGGAUUCAUUGGGUUUAAAGGGUGCGUAGGUGGCCGAUUAAGUCAGCGGUGAAAGUCAGUGGCUCAACCAUUGAAUUGCCGUUGAAACUGGUUGGCUUGAGUACGUACGGGGCAGGCGGAAUGCGUGGUGUAGCGGUGAAAUGCAUAGAUAUCACGCAGAACCCCGAUCGCGAAGGCAGCCUGCCAGGCCGUGACUGACACUGAUGCACGAAAGCGUGGGUAUCGAACAGGAUUAGAUACCCUGGUAGUCCACGCAGUAAACGAUGAUCACUAGGGGUUUGCGAUAGACGGUAAGCCCCCGAGCGAAAGCGUUAAGUGAUCCACCUGGGGAGUACGCCGGCAACGGUGAAACUCAAAGGAAUUGACGGGGGCCCGCACAAGCGGAGGAACAUGUGGUUUAAUUCGAUGAUACGCGAGGAACCUUACCCGGGCUUGAAUUGCAGAGGAAGGAUUUGGAGACAAUGACGCCCUUCGGGGUCUCUGUGAAGGUGCUGCAUGGUUGUCGUCAGCUCGUGCCGUGAGGUGUCGGCUUAAGUGCCAUAACGAGCGCAACCCCUCUCCUUAGUUGCCAUCAGGUCAUGCUGGGCACUCUGGGGACACUGCCACCGUAAGGUGUGAGGAAGGUGGGGAUGACGUCAAAUCAGCACGGCCCUUACGUCCGGGGCUACACA